This 492-nucleotide ribosomal RNA is filed under the name uncultured bacterium. RNAcentral's name for it is "partial 16S ribosomal RNA". It matches the Rfam family "Bacterial small subunit ribosomal RNA", at positions 29 to 507 of the family's 1533-position model. The record is from RNAcentral.
AGUGAACGCUGGCGGUAGGCCUAACACAUGCAAGUCGAACGGCAGCACAGUAAGAGCUUGCUCUUACGGGUGGCGAGUGGCGGACGGGUGAGGCAUACAUCGGAAUCUACUUUUUCGUGGGGGAUAACGUAGGGAAACUUACGCUAAUACCGCAUACGACCUACGGGUGAAAGCAGGGGAUCUUCGGACCUUGCGCGAUUGAAUGAGCCGAUGUCGGAUUAGCUAGUUGGCGGGGUAAAGGCCCACCAAGGCGACGAUCCGUAGCUGGUCUGAGAGGAUGAUCAGCCACACUGGAACUGAGACACGGUCCAGACUCCUACGGGAGGCAGCAGUGGGGAAUAUUGGACAAUGGGCGCAAGCCUGAUCCAGCCAUACCGCGUGGGUGAAGAAGGCCUUCGGGUUUUAAAACCCUUUUGUUGGGAAAGAAAAGCGGCAGGUUAAUACCCCGCUGUUCUGACGGUACCCAAAGAGUAAGCACCGGCUAACUUCGUG